Molecule: ribosomal RNA, 371 nt
Filed under: uncultured Glomeromycotina
Lineage: Eukaryota; Fungi; Glomeromycota
Description: SSU rRNA
Rfam family: Eukaryotic small subunit ribosomal RNA
Source: RNAcentral
AGCAGCCGCGGUAAUUCCAGCUCCAAUAGCGUAUAUUAAAGUUGUUGCAGUUAAAAAGCUCGUAGUUGAAUUUCGGGGUCAGCAGGUCGGUCGUGCCACUGGUAUGCACUGGCCUUGCCGAUUCCUCCCUCCUGAUGAGCCGUAAUGCCAUUAAUUUGGUGUUGCGGGGAAUCAGGACUGUUACUUUGAAAAAUUAGAGUGUUUAAAGCAGGCAAGCGCUUGAAUACAUUAGCAUGGAAUAAUGAAAUAGGACGUUCGAUCCUAUUUUGUUGGUUUCUAGGAUUGACGUAAUGAUUAAUAGGGAUUGUUGGGGGCAUUAGUAUUCAAUUGUCAGAGGUGAAAUUCUUGGAUUUAUUGAAGACUAACUACUG